GUUCCUUAGGUAAAGCCAAUUGCGUGAAAUCAUAAAUUUAGUAGCUAAUGUAGAUGUGUGUAGUUUAGAAGUAAAGGUUAUUGAGAGCACCUAGAGGGGGGGGUGAAUAGGUGAUCCUGUAAAACUUCAAAACUUAAGCCACAAAAACUUGUUAAGUGUUAGCACAAUUAUGGCCAAGUGGCUAGAGAGGAGUCAAAACACAAUAACCACAAGAAUUCAAUCACAGAGAUGACACGGUGGUUAUCCCGUGGUUCGGCCAAGUACAAAACUUGCCUACUCCACGUUGUGGCGUCCCAACGGACGAGAGUUGCACUCAACUCCUCUCAAGUGAUCCAAUGAUCAACUUGAAUACCACGGUGUUCUUGCUUUUCUUUUCUCAAUCCCGUUUGCGAGGAAUCUCCACAACUUGGAGCCUCUCGCCCUUACAAAAGAUGUUCACAGAGAAUCACGGAUCAAGGCAGGGAUUAGCAACUCACACAACACAAAGAUCACAGCGAAUACGCACACACAAGACCCAGACUUGAGCUCAAGAGACUAGCACACUAGAACGGAGCUCAAAUCACUAGAAUUUAGAACAAGUGCGCAAGAUUGAUGUGUGAGUGAUCAAGAGUGCUCAAGGAAUGCUUGGUUGUCCUCCUCCAUGCGCCUAGGGGUCCCUUUUAUAGCCCCAAGGCAGCUAGGAGCCGUUGAGAACAAAUCCAGAAGGCUAUCCUUGCCUUCUGUCGUCGGGCGCACCGGACAGUCCGGUGCACACCGGACACUGUCCGGUGCCCGAUUUCUUUCCUUAACAGGCGCAGCCGACCGUUGGCGACCGUUGCAGAUCUGGCGCACCGGACAGUCCGGUGCACACCGGACAGUCCGGUGCUUCCUUCCGACCGUUGGCUCGGCCACGUGUCGCGCGCCGAUCGCGCGGCCGACCGUUGGCCCGGCCGACCGUUGGCUCACCGGACAGUCCGGUGCACACCGGACAGUCCGGUGAAUUUUAGCCGAAGUCGCUAGAGAAAAACCCGAGAGCAGCCUCUUCGGCCGAGGCAGCCUGGCGCACCGGACACUGUCCGGUGCACCACCGGACAGUCCGGUGCCCCAGACCGAAACAGCCCCUUGGCUGUACACAGCCAAGUCUUCUCUUCUCUUCUUCUUUCUGUUUCUAACACUUAGACAAGAUAUUAGUACACAAAAACAAUGUACUAAGGCUUAGAAACAUACCUUAACUUGUGAUUUGCACUUUGUUCAUCUAUGGGCAUAUUUUCACAUUUAAGCACUUGUGUUUGCACUCAAUCACCAAAAUACUUAGAAAUGGCCCAAAGGCACAUUUCCCUUUCAAUCUCCCCCUUUUUGGUGAUUUAUGCCAACAGAACAUAAAGCAAGUGGAACAAGUGCAAAACUACUUCAAAUAAAAACUAACUUUGAGUUUUAUUCAAUUUUGGCAUAUAUGGAUCAUCCUUUGCCACCACUUGGUUUGUUUUUGCAACUCAAACUCAAAUCUCUAUUUCUAUGUCAACCACACAUGUUGAGGCACAAAGAGAGUCAUUCCAAAAGAGGUUGAUCAAAGAUUUCAAAAACUCCCCCUAAAUCCCAUAAUCAAUACUUCUCCCCACAAGAAGCCAACUUUUCACAAAAGAGACAAUAAGAGAGUUUUGACAAAACAAAAGCUCUACUCUACUAUUUUCAAAUCUCUCAAGUGGUAGCUGAUCCAUUUAUCGCUUUGGCCUGUAUUUUCUCCCCCUUUGGCAUCAAGCACCAAAACGGGAUCAAUCUUGGCCUUAUAACCCCAUUGCCUCACCAAAAUCUUCAAUUAAGAGCAAAAUGCAAUAAGAGUUCAUGAGAUGAACUUGGAAUUAGUUACCCUCUCAUUGGAGUGCAGUGGAAGUCUUUCAUGGUCCAAGUCCACCUUUCCCUUUCAAUCCUCCUUCGAGACUAAAUCAUCAAACUCAAGUACAUGGUUAGUCUCAAAGGGUCAAGUUGUAACACAUCUCCCCCUAAACAUGUGCAUCACUUUGCAACGGACUUGUGAGGUCCAGGGAGUGUUUGUACAACUUGAGCACCACAAUAAGCAACAAAAUGCAGAAUGAACAUGAUCAAAGGCAUAAACACAUGUAUGCUACAAUUCAAUCCAAGUUCCGCGAAUCUAAGACAUUUAGCUCACUACGCAGCCUGCAAAAGGUCUUCUCAUCUAGAGGCUUGGUGAAGAUAUCGGCUAGCUGGUUCUCGGUGCUAACAUGAAACACUUCGAUAUCCCCCUUUUGCUGGUGGUCUCUCAAAAAGUGAUGCCGGAUGUCUAUGUGCUUUGUGCGGCUGUGCUCAACAGGAUUUUCCGCCAUGCGGAUAGCACUCUCAUUAUCACAUAGGAGUGGGACUUUGCUCAGAUUGUAGCCAAAGUCCCGGAGGGUUUGCCUCAUCCAAAGUAGUUGCGCGCAACACUGUCCUGCGGCAACAUACUCGGCCUCAGCGGUGGAUAGGGCAACGGAAGUUUGUUUCUUAGAAUUCCAUGACACCAGGGACCUUCCUAAGAAUUGGCACGUCCCCGAUGUACUCUUCCUAUCGACCUUACAUCCAGCAUAGUCGGAAUCUGAGUAUCCAACCAAGUCAAAGGUAGACCCCUUUGGAUACCAGAGCCCGAAGCAAGGCGUAGCAACUAAAUAUCUAAGGAUUCGCUUCACCGCCACUAAGUGACACUCCUUAGGAUCAGAUUGAAAUCUAGCACACAUGCAUACGCUAAGCAUAAUAUCCGGUCUACUAGCACAUAAAUAAAGUAAAGACCCUAUCAUUGACCGGUAUGCUUUUUGAUCAACGGACUUACCUCCUUUGUUGAGAUCGGUGUGUCCGUCGGUUCCCAUCGGCGUCUUUGCGGGCUUGGCGUCCUUCAUCCCAAACCGCUUUAGCAGAUCUUGCGUGUACUUCGUUUGGGAGAUGAAGGUUCCGUCCUUGAGUUGCUUCACUUGGAACCCAAGGAAGUAGUUCAACUCGCCCAUCAUCGACAUCUCGAAUUUUUGCGUCAUCACCCUGCUAAACUCUUCACAAGACUUUUGGUUAGUAGAACCAAAUAUUAUGUCAUCGACAUAAAUUUGACACACAAACAAAUCACCAUCACAUGUCUUAGUGAAAAGAGUUGGAUCGGCUUUCCCAACCUUGAAAGCAUUAGCAAUUAAGAAAUCUCUAAGGCAUUCAUACCAUGCUCUUGGGGCUUGCUUAAGUCCAUAGAGCGCCUUAGAGAGCUUACACACGUGGUCGGGGUACCGUUCAUCCUCGAAGCCAGGGGGUUGCUCCACGUACACCUCCUCCUUGAUUGGCCCGUUGAGGAAAGCGCUCUUCACAUCCAUUUGGAACAACCUGAAAGAAUGGUGAGCGGCAUAUGCUAGCAAGAUUCGAAUUGACUCUAGCCUAGCCACAGGAGCAAAAGUCUCCUCAAAAUCCAAACCUGCGACUUGGGCAUAACCUUUUGCCACAAGUCGAGCCUUGUUUCUCGUCACCACCCCGUGCUCGUCCUGUUUGUUGCGGAACACCCACUUGGUUCCCACAACAUUUUGCUUUGGACGAGGCACCAGCGUCCAAACUUCAUUUCUCUUGAAGUUGUUGAGCUCCUCCUGCAUGGCCAACACCCAGUCUGGAUCUAGCAAGGCCUCCUCUACCCUGAAAGGCUCAAUAGAAGAGACAAAAGAGUAAUGCUCACAAAAAUUAACUAAUCGAGAACGAGUAGUUACUCCCUUGCUGAUGUCACCCAGAAUUUGGUCGACGGGAUGAUCCCUUUGGAUCGUCGCUCGAACUUGGGUUGGAGGUGCCGGUUGCGCUUCUUCCUCCAUCACAUGAUCAUCUUGUGCUCCCCCUUGAUCACACGCCUCCUUUUGAUGAACCUGUUCAUCGUCUUGAGUAGGGGGAUGCACCAUAAUUGAGGAAGAGGGUUGAUCUUGCUCAUCUUGUUCCUGUGGCCGCACUUCUCCAAUUGCCAUGGUGCGUAUGGCGGCUGUUGGAACGUCUUCUUCAUCUGCAUCAUCACAAUCAACAACUUGCUCUCUUGGAGAGCCAUUAGUCUCAUCAAAUACAACGUCGCUAGAGACUUCAACCAAACCCGAUGAUUUGUUGAAGACUCUAUACGCCUUUGUAUUUGAGUCAUAACCUAAUAAAAACCCUUCUACAGCUUUGGGAGCAAACUUAGAAUUUCUACCCUUCUUCACUAGAAUGUAGCAUUUACUCCCAAAUACACGAAAGUACGAUACAUUGGGUUUGUUACCGGUUAGUAGCUCAUAUGACGUCUUCUUGAGGAGGCGAUGAAGGUAGACCCUGUUGAUGGCGUGGCAAGCAGUGUUAACGGCUUCCGUCCAAAAACACUCGGGGGUCUUGAAUUCUCCUAGCAUCGUCCUCGCCAUAUCGAUGAGCGUCCUGUUCUUCCUCUCUACCACACCAUUUUGCUGUGGUGUGUAGGGAGCGGAGAACUCGUGCUUGAUCCCUUCCUCUUCAAGGAACUCCUCCACUUGAAGGUUCUUGAACUCGGAUCCGUUGUCGCUCCUUAUCUUCUUCACUUUGAGCUCAAACUCAUUUUGAGCUCUCCUGAGGAAGCGCUUGAGGGUCCCUUGGGUUUCAGACUUAUCCUGCAAAAAGAACACCCAAGUGAAGCGGGAAAAAUCAUCAACAAUAACUAAACCAUACUUACUCCCUCCUAUGCUCAGAUAGGCGACAGGUCCGAAGAGGUCCAUAUGCAGCAGCUCCAGGGGUCUUGAAGUGGUCAUCACGUUCUUGCUGUGAUGCGCUCCUCCCACUUGUUUACCUGCUUGACAAGCUGCACAAGGUCUAUCUUUUUCGAAAUGCACGUUAGUCAAACCUAUCACGUGUUCUCCCUUUAGAAGCUUGUGAAGGUUCUUCAUCCCCACAUGUGCUAAGCGGCGAUGCCACAGCCAGCCCAUGCUAGUCUUAGCUAUUAAGCAUGCAUCUAGACCGGCCUCUUCUUUUGCAAAAUCAACUAAAUAAAGUUUGCCGUCUAAUACACCCUUAAAAGCUAGUGAACCAUCACUUCUUCUAAAGACAGACACAUCUACAUUUGUAAAUAGACAGUUAUACCCCAUAUUGCAUAAUUGACUAACAGAUAGCAGAUUAUAUCCAAGAGACUCUACUAAAAACACAUUAGAUAUAGAGUGCUCAUUAGAAAUUGCAAUUUUACCUAACCCUUUUACCUUGCCUUGAUUCCCAUCACCGAAUAUAAUUGAAUCUUGGGAAUCCUUAUUCUUGACGUAGGAGGUGAACAUCUUCUUCUCCCCCGUCAUAUGGUUUGUGCAUCCGCUGUCUAUAAUCCAGCUUGAACCCCCGGAUGCAUAAACCUGCAAGGCAAAUUUAGGCUUGGGUUUUAGGUACCCAACUCAUGUUGGGUCCUGCAAGGUUAGCACAAAUAUUCUUAGGGACCCAAAUGCAAGUUUUAUCUCCCUUGCAUCUUGCCCCUAACUUCCUAGCAAUUACCUUUUUACCCUUUCUACAAAUAGCAAAGGGAGCAUUGCAAGCAUAAUAAAUGGUAGAAGGUUCAUUUGCUACUUUCCUAGGAGCAUGAAUAACAUUCUUUUUAGGAACAACAUUUUUCCUAGUAACAUUUCUAUCAUACACAUAUGAAGAACUAGGAGCAAACAUGGCAUGAGAAUCAUAAACAUAUGAAUCAUUACAAGCAUUUCUAGCAUGUCUCCUAUCAUGGUACAUAAAGGCAUGGUUCCUUUUUGCACUACUAGCCAUAGGAGCCUUCCCUUUCUCCUUGGCGGAGAUGGGAGUCUUAUGGCUUGUUAAGUUCUUGGCUUCCCUCUUGAAGCCAAGCCCAUCCUUAAUUGAGGGGUGUCUAUGUCACACCCGGAUUUUAGGGGUCCAAAACCCGGGCGCGAACAUAAACACCAGGUGUGCUGGGACCAAGUCUCACACAUAUGAUGCAUAGUGGCACAGGAUCGAAUGUCACAUCUUUACUAUAUAACAGGAGUUCUGUACAAAAAUAAUUAAAUAAUUACAUCAUAUGAGGAAACGAUCCAGCAACCCAAAGUUGACUGGGAGACGACGGCCUAGACCUCUCACGAACUCAUCACAGCAUCCUCCAUGCGCCUCAUCCUGUGGUACCUGUUCUUGACCUGUGGGGGGGUGUGAGACAGCAAGAGUGAGCUCACAUACGUUCAUCGCUCAACAAGUUGUGGGGAAUAAUGUGCAUGAACCCGCCAAAGGUGGGAGCUCAUGAAGUGUAAGGCUUACCAAAGAGGAUGGUUGAAGCUGAGCAUUGCUUUUAAAGUUGGUCAAAAUUUUAUUAGCAAUUACUAAGUAUAAGUAAAUACCAACCCAAUUAAAUAGUAGAACAGAAGUAACAACAUCACCUGCGAUGCAAUGCAUAUGACAAAUUGAAUUUAGUUCCAUAAAUUAAUCAUGUGAGGGUCCGAGCUGCUCAUGACCGUGAGCACGGCUAGUAUACCAGUUUUACACUCUGCAGAGGUGGCGCAUCUUUACCCACAAGUCAUGUUACCCAUCUGCCAAGGGAUCGCGACUUCCCAUACACCUCUACCGAGGAGGCGAGGCAGGGUAACACUACGAGGCCUUUACAAAGUUCCACUAGCUUCAGAAAACCCGCUACAGUUUAUAGGAAGCUCCAAUGCAGGAAUUCCCUUGCAGGACCGCCAUCGCAGCAAAAUCCUCCCGAGGGUCUCCCUACACUGACCACUCCCCUACUGCCCUUGCCCCUUUCGGGUAAGGUAGUCCUCCACUAGCUUUCCUAAUUAAUCAGCCAAGGGCGUCCCAUUAUACCCUUGUGGUAGCACUGUUUUCCCGGGUGGUCGCUCCAUGUUCCAAUUAACAUAAUGAUCUUAUCAUGAACGAUAAAUAACAACGGAUAACAAAAGUAUAAUCAUGAGUAAUGUAUCUUCAUACCCAAAACCACAUAAAGCACUAGCAUGUACUACCCAAAAAGUUUUAGUGGUAAACAAGGUAUAAAGAUAAUCAAACUAGGGUAACCUAUUGGGUCCCAUCAAAAUUAACCUAUGCAGAUCAUUAUGAUUAAUCAGAACAUGGCUGGGUAAAAAGAAGUGAUCAAGGGCACAACUUGCCUGAGACUUGAGAUUCCAGGUACCAGGAUGAUCUUCAGGUGACACGUGUCCUCACGCUAGUCGUAGCAUUACAAACAAACAGUGUAUAGGCAAAAUUAACAUUACACCAAACAUAAGAAUACACUGCAUAAAAAUAAUCUACGCGAAGCUACGAGACUAACGCAACUUGAACGGAUCAAAUCGGAGUUAAAACGGAGGAGUUAUGAUUUUCUGAAGAUUCUAUGUGUUUUGUACAAAAUUAAAUAGGAUAUAAAUUUUAAUGUGACUUUCAUGUCAAGACAGCGGUACUAAAUGCUAGACAAUAAUAUUACACAAUUAUAGGAAUUGGAACGGAUUAAUUUGGGCUUAAUAUGAAUUUUCUAUGAAUUAUACAAGUUUUACAAUUAUUUCUAUACUCAAAAUUAAUUUCUAAAUCUCUUUUUCCUAUUUUCUUUAAUUACUGGACUGGGCGCACUAUUAUCAGAAACUGCAUGGGCUAACACGCAAAAUUGCCCAAGACUCAGGAUUCCCACAGACAGGACUGCGGGUUGAAUAGUUUGAAGUGGAGGGUCUCUUUAAGAAAAUACCCGGCCGAAGGGGUACGGGUGAACGCGGACCGCCCAGAUUAGAUCCGAUGGUGUAGAUUAGAUCUGGGCGCUUUAUAAACCGGUAUGCAACGUCAACCGUACGAUCAAAGAUCCACGGCCCACGAAUGCCCACGAUCCAAUCUACCGCGAGCCACACGAUUAAAAUCUAAUGGCUCGGACAUAAAUGGCGAAGGGGUGCCCUGCUUCUAUUUUCAGCCGUCCAUAUAGGAUCUAACGUCCCAGGCGCUUUCUUCCUCAUGCCGUAGCCAGGCGGCGGCGCGUUUCCAGCCCAGACGGCGGAGAGAUGGCCGGCGUUCGGUGAUUUGCCCCAAACUCCAAUCCGAUCAGUGCUAUUCGAGGAGUGCAAUAUGGUGGAUCGUAGUGAGGCUUCUUACCGGAGUGCGAGGUGGUGACGAGGCCCGCCCAUGGCAGGUGACGCUUUGGCGGCGGAGAGCUCACAUCGGUGAGAAAUUCCAGCCGCGCCGAGAACGAAUCCACCCAGGCGAAGCUGCGACGAACAUCCGUGUGCGCUGCGCAUCCUUGCGGCGAAGCUCCAGUGCCCAACACCAGCGCCAACACCCGCCCAGACCAAGGAUGGUGGAGCAGCGCCCGAACCCAUGGCGGCACCCCUUUUUCUCUCUCAACUUCUCUGCUUGUCGCCAUGGCUGCGGAAGAGACGCAGGGUCGGUGGGAAGAAGGGGGCCGCAUGCGCGCUACUUAUCCCCAGGAGCUCAGGAGAUCCGGAGUCCGCGGCGAGGGAGAUAGGUGAGCUGAUUACGCGAGAACGGCGGAGUUCGUUGGGAUUAGCAUGGCGCAAGGAAGGGUGAUGACCAGGUGGCCCCACCGGUAAGCCACACACAUGAGUGGCAGCGAAACCGGGCGUUUGAGAAACGGUCAAGCGGGGCCCGCCUGUCGGCACUUCCCCCACGUUCCGCGCGCGGUCGAACCCGACCAGUGGGUCCCACACGAUAGGGUGCCGGGUGGAUGCGCGCACACAGGAAGUUUGGGCCGCGCUGUAGAUAGGCUUAGGUGGGCUGGCAGGUGGUUUGGGCCCAAUCCGCAGUUUAUUCUUUCCCUUUUUUUUCUUUUAUUCUUUUAUGGUUUCUUUUCCCUUUUGUUUUUAGAAUUCAAAUUUAAAUUAGAAUUCGGUCUUGUGAUCCAUCAAUGUUAAAAGUGUACCCAGUUCAAUCUUUUGGAGUAUAGAAGUACUUUCUUAUUUAUAUAUUUUGUUCUACCUUAUUUGCUUAAUGGUGUUUUCUCUUUUCUCAAUUUUCUAGAAUUCCCUUUUGAAUUUCUAAAUUUCCACUUUGGAUUUUAAUAUAUUUCUUGUCACAUUUAUUAUUUUAUUUUGUCACAAUACGCACACAAAAGAAAAUCCCAGCAUGAUGUAUAAUUUAGUUGAGUGUCUUUUGUUGAUUAUUUAUCUGUGGAAGUGAGGUGUCCACAUGAAAUGAUCAAUAUAGGUCACACAUAUAUGUAUACAGGAACAUAAUUUCUCUUUUUAGACACUUCUUACAAAGUGGGUAUUACAAAUCCUACCCCCUUAAAAAUAAUCUCGUCCUCGAGAUUAGUAAGCAGAAGGGUUAUACCGAGGUUGGUUUAUAAUUGAGAUUGUAGUUUCUAAUGGAUUCAAAAAUUAAGAGUCUCUCUCUUUCUCUUUUUAAAAUACUAUUUAGCAAGUACUUAGAAAUGCAUGGGUAUCUUCUAUGUUUAGACACACAGGUAAGAAGAGAGAUGGUCAGAGUGAGGUUAGCUGAUGGUAAGAAGAACUUGGUAAGGGAAGACUCCUGUCCAAGGUGGUAAAUUUGAAUCAUCUCGAGAUCUGAUUUGACUCCUAUUCUUCCAUGUCGAGGUUGAUCUCCUCCUCCUUGCUCUUUGGUGUCUCCAUCCGGGUUUGGGACAGGAGGUUAAGAUAGAUCUAUUAUGUAGGUCAAGUUGUUGGGUAUGGCCGAGUUGAUCUAGGAUCUCAAACUUGUUUAUAGGAGCAGGGUCUAAUGUAUUUCACCAGGAUUAACUAACUUCUUAGGUCACUCUCUUUAAAUUGGAUCAUAGUAGAUUAGAUGGGAUCUAGAUUAGAUUGGUACAACUAGGUUAGACUAGAUAAUGUCUAAUUACUUUGGAUUAGAUCAUGGUGGUUACUCCAGGAUGAGAUAAGCAAAGUGGUUAGGAUAAGAUAAGAUAAAAUCUUUUAAGAUGAGAUGAAUCUAUUAAGGUAAGACAAUAUCUUUUAAGAUAAGAUGGAUCUUAUGAAGCUAGAUAUAUUUUAAUGGGGGGUAUUCUUAGUUGAUCUAGUUAUAUUAUGAUUUCUUUAUGCUUUUAUGCAUAUGUAGAUGCAAUUGUGGACAUUACUCCACAACUCAUCACACUCAAUCAAAGAUCCAAAUCAAACAAGUAUCAUAAGAACAAGCAUUCAAGUUCAUAGAUAUCUAUAAAAAUAGUUUUGUUUUUUUUGUUCCUAUGAUUAGGUCUCCUAUUCCUAAAGGUCACUUUAGGCACAGGAUUUCAAAGUGUGAAAUCCACAUUUGUCUUUAGAAUGAAAAAAAGAUAAGAAUAAUCAGAGUAAAGCGGAAAUAGAUGAGAAAGAUUAAGAAAAGUAUAGAAAAGAAUCAGAGUAGCAAAGGUAAGUAGACAAUGGUUGUCCAGUUCUACCUAGGUUUCGUCCUACAGUCAACAUUCCUCUGAUACCACUUCUGUCACACCCGGAUUUUAGGGGUCCAAAACCCGGGCGCGAACAUAAACACCAGGUGUGCUGGGACCAAGUCUCACACAUAUGAUGCAUAGUGGCACAGGAUCGAAUGUCACAUCUUUACUAUAUAACAGGAGUUCUGUACAAAAAUAAUUAAAUAAUUACAUCAUAUGAGGAAACGAUCCAGCAACCCAAAGUUGACUGGGAGACGACGGCCUAGACCUCUCACGAACUCAUCACAGCAUCCUCCAUGCGCCUCAUCCUGUGGUACCUGUUCUUGACCUGUGGGGGGGUGUGAGACAGCAAGAGUGAGCUCACAUACGUUCAUCGCUCAACAAGUUGUGGGGAAUAAUGUGCAUGAACCCGCCAAAGGUGGGAGCUCAUGAAGUGUAAGGCUUACCAAAGAGGAUGGUUGAAGCUGAGCAUUGCUUUUAAAGUUGGUCAAAAUUUUAUUAGCAAUUACUAAGUAUAAGUAAAUACCAAUCCAAUUAAAUAGUAGAACAGAAGUAACAACAUCACCUGCGAUGCAAUGCAUAUGACAAAUUGAAUUUAGUUCCAUAAAUUAAUCAUGUGAGGGUCCGAGCUGCUCAUGACCGUGAGCACGGCUAGUAUACCAGUUUUACACUCUGCAGAGGUGGCGCAUCUUUACCCACAAGUCAUGUUACCCAUCUGCCAAGGGAUCGCGACUUCCCAUACACCUCUACCGAGGAGGCGAGGCAGGGUAACACUACGAGGCCUUUACAAAGUUCCACUAGCUUCAGAAAACCCGCUACAGUUUAUAGGAAGCUCCAAUGCAGGAAUUCCCUUGCAGGACCGCCAUCGCAGCAAAAUCCUCCCGAGGGUCUCCCUACACUGACCACUCCCCUACUGCCCUUGCCCCUUUCGGGUAAGGUAGUCCUCCACUAGCUUUCCUAAUUAAUCAGCCAAGGGCGUCCCAUUAUACCCUUGUGGUAGCACUGUUUUCCCGGGUGGUCGCUCCAUGUUCCAAUUAACAUAAUGAUCUUAUCAUGAACGAUAAAUAACAACGGAUAACAAAAGUAUAAUCAUGAGUAAUGUAUCUUCAUACCCAAAACCACAUAAAGCACUAGCAUGUACUACCCAAAAAGUUUUAGUGGUAAACAAGGUAUAAAGAUAAUCAAACUAGGGUAACCUAUUGGGUCCCAUCAAAAUUAACCUAUGCAGAUCAUUAUGAUUAAUCAGAACAUGGCUGGGUAAAAAGAAGUGAUCAAGGGCACAACUUGCCUGAGACUUGAGAUUCCAGGUACCAGGAUGAUCUUCAGGUGACACGUGUCCUCACGCUAGUCGUAGCAUUACAAACAAACAGUGUAUAGGCAAAAUUAACAUUACACCAAACAUAAGAAUACACUGCAUAAAAAUAAUCUACGCGAAGCUACGAGACUAACGCAACUUGAACGGAUCAAAUCGGAGUUAAAACGGAGGAGUUAUGAUUUUCUGAAGAUUCUAUGUGUUUUGUACAAAAUUAAAUAGGAUAUAAAUUUUAAUGUGACUUUCAUGUCAAGACAGCGGUACUAGAUGCUAGACAAUAAUAUUACACAAUUAUAGGAAUUGGAACGGAUUAAUUUGGGCUUAAUAUGAAUUUUCUAUGAAUUAUACAAGUUUUACAAUUAUUUCUAUACUCAAAAUUAAUUUCUAAAUCUCUUUUUCCUAUUUUCUUUAAUUACUGGACUGGGCGCACUAUUAUCAGAAACUGCAGGGGCUAACACGCAAAAUUGCCCAAGACUCAGGAUUCCCACAGACAGGACUGCGGGUUGAAUAGUUUGAAGUGGAGGGUCUCUUUAAGAAAAUACCCGGCCGAAGGGGUACGGGUGAACGCGGACCGCCCAGAUUAGAUCCGAUGGUGUAGAUUAGAUCUGGGCGCUUUAUAAACCGGUAUGCAACGUCAACCGUACGAUCAAAGAUCCACGGCCCACGAAUGCCCACGAUCCAAUCUACCGCGAGCCACACGAUUAAAAUCUAAUGGCUCGGACAUAAAAUGGCGAAGGGGUGCCCUGCUUCUAUUUUCAGCCGUCCAUAUAGGAUCUAACGUCCCAGGCGCUUUCUUCCUCAUGCCGUAGCCAGGCGGCGGCGCGUUUCCAGCCCAGACGGCGGAGAGAUGGCCGGCGUUCGGUGAUUUGCCCCAAACUCCAAUCCGAUCAGUGCUAUUCGAGGAGUGCAAUAUGGUGGAUCGUAGUGAGGCUUCUUACCGGAGUGCGAGGUGGUGACGAGGCCCGCCCAUGGCAGGUGACGCUUUGGCGGCGGAGAGCUCACAUCGGUGAGAAAUUCCAGCCGCGCCGAGAACGAAUCCACCCAGGCGAAGCUGCGACGAACAUCCGUGUGCGCUGCGCAUCCUUGCGGCGAAGCUCCAGUGCCCAACACCAGCGCCAACACCCGCCCAGACCAAGGAUGGUGGAGCAGCGCCCGAACCCAUGGCGGCACCCCUUUUUCUCUCUCAACUUCUCUGCUUGUCGCCAUGGCUGCGGAAGAGACGCAGGGUCGGUGGGAAGAAGGGGGCCGCAUGCGCGCUACUUAUCCCCAGGAGCUCAGGAGAUCCGGAGUCCGCGGCGAGGGAGAUAGGUGAGAUGAUUACGCGAGAACGGCGGAGUUCGUUGGGAUUAGCAUGGCGCAAGGAAGGGUGAUGACCAGGUGGCCCCACCGGUAAGCCACACACAUGAGUGGCAGCGAAACCGGGCGUUUGAGAAACGGUCAAGCGGGGCCCGCCUGUCGGCACUUCCCCCACGUUCCGCGCGCGGUCGAACCCGACCAGUGGGUCCCACACGACAGGGUGCCGGGUGGAUGCGCGCACACAGGAAGUUUGGGCCGCGCUGUAGAUAGGCUUAGGUGGGCUGGCAGGUGGUUUGGGCCCAAUCCGCAGUUUAUUCUUUCCCUUUUUUUUUCUUUUAUUCUUUUAUGGUUUCUUUUCCCUUUUGUUUUUAGAAUUCAAAUUUAAAUUAGAAUUCGGUCCUGUGAUCCAUCAAUGUUAAAAGUGUACCCAGUUCAAUCUUUUGGAGUAUAGAAGUACUUUCUUAUUUAUAUAUUUUGUUCUACCUUAUUUGCUUAAUGGUGUUUUCUCUUUUCUCAAUUUUCUAGAAUUCCCUUUUGAAUUUCUAAAUUUCCACUUUGGAUUUUAAUAUAUUUCUUGUCACAUUUAUUAUUUUAUUUUGUCACAAUACGCACACAAAAGAAAAUCCCAGCAUGAUGUAUAAUUUAGUUGAGUGUCUUUUGUUGAUUAUUUAUCUGUGGAAGUGAGGUGUCCACAUGAAAUGAUCAAUAUAGGUCACACAUAUAUGUAUACAGGAACAUAAUUUCUCUUUUUAGACACUUCUUACAAAGUGGGUAUUACAGUCUACCAAUAGUGUAGGCAUCCCUUGCAAAUUUUAGUUUUUCAAAUUCACUUUUGCUAGUCUUAAGUUGGGUAUUAAGACUAGCUAAUUCAUCAUUCAAUUUUGAAAUGGAGACUAAGUGUUCACUGCACGCAUUAAUAUCAACAUCCUUACACCUAGUGCAAAUUUCAACAUGUUCAACACAAGAGUUGGAUCUAUUUGCUUCUACUAGUUUAGCAUUUAAGUCAUCAUUAAUGCUCUUUAAGUUAGAAAUAGAAUCAUGGCAUGUUGACACUUCACAAGCAAGCAUUUCAUUCCUCUUAAUUUCUAAUGCAAGGGAUUUUUGAGCCUCUACAAACUUAUCAUGUUCUUCAUACAACAAAUCCUCUUGCUUUUCUAAAAGUAUAUUCUUUUCAUUCAAGGCAUCAAUUAAUUCAUUAAUUUUGUCUAUCUUAGAUCUAUCUAAGCCCUUGAACAAACAUGAAUAAUCUACUUCAUCCUCAUCACUAGAUUCGUCCUCACUUGAAGAAGCAUAGGUAGAGUUGCGAGUACAUACCUUCUUCUCCCUUGCCAUAAGGCAUGUGUGACGCUCGUUGGGGAAGAGGGUUGAUUUGUUGAAGGCGGUGGCGGCGAGUCCUUCAUUGUCGGAGUCGGAAGAGGAGCAAUCCGAGUCCCACUCCUUGCCUAGAUGCGCCUCGCCCUUUGCCUUCUUGUAAUGCUUCUUCUUUUCCCUCUUGUUUCCCUGUUCCUGGUCACUAUCAUUAUCGGGGCAGUUAGCGAUAAAAUGACCAAUCUUACCGCACUUGAAGCAUGAGCGCUUCCCCUUUGUCUUGGUCUUGCUUGGCUGCCCCUUGUGACCUUUUAGUACCGUCUUGAAGCGUUUAAUGAUAAGAGCCAUUUCUUCAUCGUUGAGUCCGGCCGCCUCAACUUGUGCCACCUUGCUAGGUAGCGACUCCUUGCUCCUUGUUGCCUUUAGAGCAAUGGGUUGAGGCUCGUGGAGUGGUCCGUUCAACGCGUCGUCGACGUAUCUUGCCUCCUUGAUCAUCAUCCUCCCGCUCACGAAUUUUCCAAGUACUUCUUCGGGCGUCAUCAUCGUGUACCUGGGAUUCUCACGAAUAUUGUUCACGAGAUGAGGAUCAAGAACGGUAAAGGACCUGAGCAUUAGGCGGACGACGUCGUGAUCCGUCCAACGCGUGCUUCCGUAGCUCCUUAUUUUGUUGAUAAGGGUCUUGAGCCGGUUGUAAGUUUGAGUUGGCUCCUCUCCCCUUAUCAUGGCGAAUCGUCCAAGCUCGCCCUCUACCAACUCCAUCUUGGUGAGCAUGGUGAUGUCGUUCCCCUCGUGAGAGAUCUUGAGGGUAUCCCAUAUCUGCUUGGCAUUGUCCAAGCCGCUCACCUUAUUGUAUUCUUCCCUGCACAAAGAUGCUAAGAGAACAGUAGUAGCUUGUGCAUUUUUAUGAAUUUGUUCAUUGAUAAACAUAGGGCUAUCCGAGCUAUCAAAUUUCAUUCCAUUCUCUACAAUCUCCCAUAUGCUUGGAUGGAGAGAGAAUAAAUGACUACGCAUUUUGUGACUCCAAAAUCCGUAGUCCUCCCCAUCAAAGUGUGGAGGUUUACCAAGAGGAAUGGAAAGCAAAUGUGAAUUCGAACUAUGUGGAAUACGAGAAUAAUCAAAAGAAAAGUUUGAGUUAACCGUCUUUUGUUUGUCGUGGUCGUCGUCCUUUUGGGAAGAAGAGGAUUCGUCGCUGUCGUAGUAGACGAUCUUCUUGAUGCGCCUUGUCUUCUUCUUCUUCCCAUCUUUGCGCCUGUGGCCCGAGCCCGAGUCGUUGGACUUGUCAUCCCUUGGCUCGUUGACGAAGGACUCCUUCUCCUUGUCGUUGAUCACAAUUCCCUUCCCCUUAGGAUCCAUCUCUUCGGGCGGUUAGUCCCUUUCUUGAAGAGAACGGCUCCGAUACCAAUUGAGAGCACCUAGAGGGGGGGGGGUGAAUAGGUGAUCCUGUAAAACUUCAAAACUUAAGCCACAAAAACUUGUUAAGUGUUAGCACAAUUAUGGCCAAGUGGCUAGAGAGGAGUCAAAACACAAUAACCACAAGAAUUCAAUCACAGAGAUGACACGGUGGUUAUCCCGUGGUUCGGCCAAGUACAAAACUUGCCUACUCCACGUUGUGGCGUCCCAACGGACGAGAGUUGCACUCAACUCCUCUCAAGUGAUCCAAUGAUCAACUUGAAUACCACGGUGUUCUUGCUUUUCUUUUCUCAAUCCCGUUUGCGAGGAAUCUCCACAACUUGGAGCCUCUCGCCCUUACAAAAGAUGUUCACAGAGAAUCACGGAUCAAGGCAGGGAUUAGCAACUCACACAACACAAAGAUCACAGCGAAUACGCACACACAAGACCCAGACUUGAGCUCAAGAGACUAGCACACUAAAACGGAGCUCAAAUCACUAGAAUGAAGAACAAGUGCGCAAGAUUGAUGUGUGAGUGAUCAAGAGUGCUCAAGGAAUGCUUGGUUGUCCUCCUCCAUGCGCCUAGGGGUCCCUUUUAUAGCCCCAAGGCAGCUAGGAGCCGUUGAGAACAAAUCCAGAAGGCUAUCCUUGCCUUCUGUCGUCGGGCGCACCGGACAGUCCGGUGCACACCGGACACUGUCCGGUGCCCGAUUUCUUUCCUUAACAGGCGCAGCCGACCGUUGGCGACCGUUGCAGAUCUGGCGCACCGGACAGUCCGGUGCACACCGGACAGUCCGGUGCUUCCUUCCGACCGUUGGCUCGGCCACGUGUCGCGCGCCGAUCGCGCGGCCGACCGUUGGCCCGGCCGACCGUUGGCUCACCGGACAGUCUGGUGCACACCGGACAGUCCGGUGAAUUUUAGCCGAAGUCGCUGGAGAAAAACCCGAGAGCAGCCUCUUCGGCCGAGGCAGCCUGGCGCACCGGACACUGUCCGGUGCACCACCGGACACUGUCCGGUGCACCACCGGACAGUCCGGUGCCCGAGACCGAAACAGCCCCUUGGCUGUACACAGCCAAGUCUUCUCUUCUCUUCUUCUUUCUGUUUCUAACACUUAGACAAGAUAUUAGUACACAAAAACAAUGUACUAAGGCUUAGAAACAUACCUUAACUUGUGAUUUGCACUUUGUUCAUCUAUGGGCAUAUUUUCACAUUUAAGCACUUGUGUUUGCACUCAAUCACCAAAAUACUUAGAAAUGGCCCAAAGGCACAUUUCCCUUUCAGUUAUUUCAAAGUAUUUUCCAUAAUAGCAGAGUAAACACUUUAGAUCCAAACUGAGUACUUUAUGGCUUUUUUAUAAUGGCAGAAAUGGGCAAUUUCAAUAAAACAAUAGUUAUUAUUAUUGUUGACGAUUGGAGUUUGUUAAAGUAAUGCCUAGAUGUUACUGGUUAUUUUGAUGAUUAUUUUUAUUCAUCUUCUCUCCCAGCGUGUCUUCUCAGAAUUAAGGUGGAGUAUGCUUGGUGUGAAGUACACUGUACACAAACUAAACACACCCAGGUCAGUUUUGCUUAUUAGCAGAGCUUUUCAUCCAUCUUGAAAAAUAAAACUGAAAUUCUUUUUUCUUCGUUUGCUCGUCUACAAUAUCCGCACAUUCUUAUUUCGAAUCAUCUGCACACUGCACUGAUUUGAACAGGCAAAGUGUUGGGCGGUGUUGUGCAUCAAGAGCGCUCGCCACUUGGCACUGGCUAGCCAACUAGACACAUACAACAAUCCCUUUUGUUCUGUCAUCACAUCUUGGGAGCUGGAUACUGAUUACUAUCUUCAUGUGACGAUAGCUAGGGAUGAUCUCAUGUCUGAUAGCUACCACUUGAGGCAAGUUUUAGUGGUUCUUUGGUUCACUUAACAAGAUGAUAACUCGUAAUUUUAGUGGUUAUGAUACAAUGAUUUCAUCCCCUUAACAAGAUGAUAACUCGCAGUUUGCACCUGGAAAUAAUGUGUUUGUGGGAUCUGGAGUGCGGCUGGCGGGCGCGCGCACAGCAUGUGCGACGGCUACUGCGACUGGUGGGCGGGCGCGACAUGCAUGGAGCGGAUGGGUCCAGGGUGCGCGGAGCAUGGUUGGGCGUUGGGUUGGUGCACGUUAAAACAUAAUGCAAAUGUGAGUGGACAAUUUAUCUUAUGAACAUACUAACUUGAAUCGUAUUGAUUCAAACCUUAGACGGCUAUCAAAGGAUGGCAUUGGGGCCUUUAGACAUCUUCUCGGUUUUGUACUGGUGUUACUUUUUUUUCAUCAUUUCAGAGCUUACAGAUGGAUCAGCGACCUUCAGGUCAAGAAACUCUAUCUCAAUCACAAAUCUCCCUGUGACGGUGAUAUCGAUUGCUCACACAAAACCGUCAUGUUUCAGUUGUUUAUCAAAAAUCCCUGCAUACGUGUAAAAUACCUAUUAGAUAGAAAUCAGUCAUUCACUCCCACUUGCUCUGAGCACACUAGAACGAACAACUCAGCUAGGAAUAACAGUAGCAACCAAUUUGAAAUCUCAUUGGGC
This 18100-nucleotide long non-coding RNA is filed under the name Zea mays. Its description in RNAcentral is "long non-coding RNA (ZMAY_LNC000180)". Lineage: Eukaryota; Viridiplantae; Streptophyta; Magnoliopsida; Poales; Poaceae. The record is from RNAcentral.